CCUACGGGAGGCAGCAGUGAGGAAUAUUGGUCAAUGGACGCAAGUCUGAACCAGCCAUGCCGCGUGCAGGAAGACGGCUCUAUGAGUUGUAAACUGCUUUUGUACGAGGGUAAACGCAGAUACGCGUAUCUUUCUGAAAGUAUCGUACGAAUAAGGAUCGGCUAACUUCGUGCCAGCAGCCGCGGUAAUACGGAGGAUUCAAGCGUUAUCCGGAUUUAUUGGGUUUAAAGGGUGCGUAGGCGGUCGGAUAAGUUAGAGGUGAAAUCCCGAGGCUCAACUUCGGAAUUGCCUCUGAUACUGUUCGGCUAGAGAGUAGUUGCGGUAGGCGGAAUGUAUGGUGUAGCGGUGAAAUGCUUAGAGAUCAUACAGAACACCGAUUGCGAAGGCAGCUUACCAAGCUACUUCUGACAUUGAGGCACGAAAGCGUGGGGAGCAAACAGGAUUAGAUACCCCUGUAGUC
This 460-nucleotide ribosomal RNA is filed under the name uncultured bacterium. Its description in RNAcentral is "partial 16S ribosomal RNA". It matches the Rfam family "Bacterial small subunit ribosomal RNA", at positions 338 to 795 of the family's 1533-position model. The record is from RNAcentral.